This 254-nucleotide ribosomal RNA is filed under the name uncultured bacterium. Its description in RNAcentral is "partial 16S ribosomal RNA". It matches the Rfam family "Bacterial small subunit ribosomal RNA", at positions 524 to 776 of the family's 1533-position model. The record is from RNAcentral.
CACGUAGGGUGCGAGCGUUGUCCGGAAUUAUUGGGCGUAAAGAGCUCGUAGGCGGUGUGUCGCGUCGGCCGUGAAAACUUGCAGCUUAACUGUGGGCGUGCGGUCGAUACGGGCAUCACUGGAGUUCGGCAGGGGAGACUGGAAUUCCUGGUGUAGCGGUGAAAUGCGCAGAUAUCAGGAGGAACACCAGUGGCGAAGGCGGGAUCCUGGGCCAGUACUGACGCUGAGGAGCGAAAGCGUGGGGAGCAAAUGGG